RNAcentral lists this ribosomal RNA (374 nucleotides) under uncultured soil bacterium. RNAcentral's name for it is "bacterial SSU rRNA". It matches the Rfam family "Bacterial small subunit ribosomal RNA", at positions 26 to 402 of the family's 1533-position model. The record is from RNAcentral.
AGAUUGAACGCUGGCGGCAGGCCUAACACAUGCAAGUCGAGCGGUAGAGAGGUGCUUGCAUCUCUUGAGAGCGGCGGACGGGUGAGUAAUGCCUAGGAAUCUGCCUAGUGGUGGGGGAUAACGUUCGGAAACGGACGCUAAUACCGCAUACGUCCUACGGGAGAAAGCGGGGGACCUUCGGGCCUCGCGCCAUUAGAUGAGCCUAGGUCGGAUUAGCUAGUUGGUGAGGUAAUGGCUCACCAAGGCGACGAUCCGUAACUGGUCUGAGAGGAUGAUCAGUCACACUGGAACUGAGACACGGUCCAGACUCCUACGGGAGCAGCAGGUGGGAAUAGUGGACAAGUGGGACAAAGCCAGAUCCAGUCCAGUCGCCG